This 275-nucleotide small RNA is filed under the name zebrafish metagenome. RNAcentral describes it as "5' ureB small RNA". It matches the Rfam family "5' ureB small RNA". The record is from RNAcentral.
UGCCCCGGCGCGAUGAAGUGGAUAUGGGCGUCAAAGCCGCCCGGCGUCAGGAUUUUCCCCUCGCCCGCGAUGAUCUCGGUCGAGGGCCCGAUGACCAGCGUGACGCCGCCUUGCGUAUCCGGGUUCCCCGCCUUGCCGAUCCCCGCGAUGCGCCCGUCGCGCAGGCCGACAUCGGCCUUGUAGAUGCCGGAAUGGUCCAGGAUCAGCGCAUUGGUGAUGACCGUAUCCAUCGCUCCACCGGCCCGGGAGACCUGGGACUGCCCCAUCCCGUCGCG